AUUGAACGCUGGCGGCAGGCCUAACACAUGCAAGUCGAACGGUAACAGGAAGCAACUUGCUGCUUUGCUGACGAGUGGCGGACGGGUGAGUAAUGUCUGGGAAACUGCCUGAUGGAGGGGGAUAACUACUGGAAACGGUAGCUAAUACCGCAUAACGUCGCAAGACCAAAGAGGGGGACCUUCGGGCCUCUUGCCAUCGGAUGUGCCCAGAUGGGAUUAGCUAGUAGGUGGGGUAACGGCUCACCUAGGCGACGAUCCCUAGCUGGUCUGAGAGGAUGACCAGCCACACUGGAACUGAGACACGGUCCAGACUCCUACGGGAGGCAGCAGUGGGGAAUAUUGCACAAUGGGCGCAAGCCUGAUGCAGCCAUGCCGCGUGUAUGAAGAAGGCCUUCGGGUUGUAAAGUACUUUCAGCGGGGAGGAAGGGAGUAAAGUUAAUACCUUUGCUCAUUGACGUUACCCGCAGAAGAAGCACCGGCUAACUCCGUG
Molecule: ribosomal RNA, 490 nt
Filed under: uncultured bacterium
Lineage: Bacteria
Description: partial 16S ribosomal RNA
Rfam family: Bacterial small subunit ribosomal RNA
Source: RNAcentral